This 504-nucleotide ribosomal RNA is filed under the name uncultured fungus. Its description in RNAcentral is "SSU rRNA". It matches the Rfam family "Eukaryotic small subunit ribosomal RNA", at positions 248 to 755 of the family's 1831-position model. The record is from RNAcentral. Lineage: Eukaryota; Fungi.
GAUUCAUGAUAACUUCUCGAAUCGCAUGGCCUUGCGCCGGCGAUGGUUCAUUCAAAUUUCUUCCCUAUCAACUUUCGAUGUUUGGGUAUUGGCCAAACAUGGUUGCAACGGGUAACGGAGGGUUAGGGCUCGACCCCGGAGAAGGAGCCUGAGAAACGGCUACUACAUCCAAGGAAGGCAGCAGGCGCGCAAAUUACCCAAUCCCGACUCGGGGAGGUAGUGACAAUAAAUACUGAUACAGGGCUCUUUUGGGUCUUGUAAUUGGAAUGAGUACAAUUUAAAUCCCUUAACGAGGAACAAUUGGAGGGCAAGUCUGGUGCCAGCAGCCGCGGUAAUUCCAGCUCCAAUAGCGUAUAUUAAAGUUGUUGUGGUUAAAAAGCUCGUAGUUGAACCUUGGGCCUGGCUGGCCGGUCCGCCUCACCGCGUGUACUGGUCCGGCCGGGCCUUUCCCUCUGUGGAACCCCAUGCCCUUCACUGGGUGUGGCGGGGAACCAGGACUUUUAC